CCAGACGGCUGGACGGUCGCUGUUGCAAGGGGGUGCGCUCUUCGGGGCUUGCUCGCGCGUGAUGGAGGAAAGUCCGGGCUCCACGGAAGAACGGUGCCGGCUAACGGCCGGCGGGGGCGACCCUAGGGAAAGUGCCACAGAAAACAAACCGCCCGCACGGGGUGGCGGCGGCAACGCGGUCAUCUUGCAGGUAAGGGCGAAACGGUGCGGCAAGAGCGCACCGCGCUUCCGGCAACGGCGGCGGCAGGGCAAACCCCACCGGGAGCAAGACCGAAUAGGGACGACAGGGAUCGGCGCUUCGGCGUCAGGUCCUGGAGGCUCUUCCGCCUCGUCGUCCGGGUUGGUCGCGCGAGGCACGCAGCAAUGCGUGUCCCAGAGGAAUGAUCGUCCCGCAGGUUCGCCUGCGGACAGAACCCGGCUUACAGGCCGUCUGGCACU
RNAcentral lists this RNase P RNA (438 nucleotides) under Lichenicola cladoniae. Its description in RNAcentral is "Bacterial RNase P class A". It matches the Rfam family "Bacterial RNase P class A". Rfam says of the family: Ribonuclease P (RNase P) is a ubiquitous endoribonuclease, found in archaea, bacteria and eukarya as well as chloroplasts and mitochondria. Its best characterised activity is the generation of mature 5'-ends of tRNAs by cleaving the 5'-leader elements of precursor-tRNAs. Cellular RNase Ps are ribonucleoproteins. RNAcentral also lists the same sequence under 1 other name. Lineage: Bacteria; Pseudomonadati; Pseudomonadota; Alphaproteobacteria; Acetobacterales; Acetobacteraceae. The record is from Rfam by way of RNAcentral.